This is a long non-coding RNA of Aquila chrysaetos chrysaetos, 7743 nucleotides long. RefSeq lists it as uncharacterized. The record is from RefSeq and is a predicted model, not a curated record. NCBI's taxonomy places the organism in Eukaryota, Metazoa, Chordata, Aves, Accipitriformes, Accipitridae. The transcript has 8 exons.
UAAAGAAUUAUUACUGGUCACACACAGCUUUGUGUGAAAUUAACUGACAAGAUUAGUAUUGCUCAUAAUGACUAGAGCUGCUCCUGGAUUGCUUGCUCAUCACCAUCUGCCAGGCUGAGGGUGACCAAGGAAAAGCAAAAAGAUUGCCUAGGACACAAAUCUACAGCCACUGAAGAAGUCUGCUUCAUUGGUCUGAAGAGUCAUGGAUUUAAGACAAAGAUCCUGUUGCCCAUGGACAGGUGCUAAAAAGCCCAUGAAGUCCUUUAUGUAUCACUGAACCGGACCUGUCCUCUGCAAGAGCUGCAAAGCAUCCUGUGUGCUAGAUUACUGACUCCCAUCAUCCCAGGAUGUAUUCAUGAUGAGCGCUGAGGGAGCUGGCCAAUAUCACUGCUAGGCCACUCAAUUAUCUUUGAAAGUUCAUGGGAGUCGAAGGAGGUUCCUGAGGACUCGAAGACCUAUUAUCUUCAAGAAGGGCAAGAAAGAAGAUCGAUGGAACUACAGGCUGGUCAGCCUCACCUUGAUCCCUUGGGACGUGAUGGGGUAAAUAAUCCUGGAAGCCAUUUCCAGACCUGUUAAGAAGGUGUGGUCAUCAAGUCACCAGGAAGGUGACUGAGUAGUCAGCAUGGACUGACUGGGAAGGCAAGUCAGGCCUGAGCAACCUGAUAGGUCAGUCACUGCUGGUGUGCCCCAGGGGCUCAUACUGGGGCAAGUACUGUUUAAUCUCUUCAUUAAUGACCUGGACCAUGGGACAGACUGCACUCUCAGCAAGUGUGAUGAUACAGACUUGGGAGGGGCGGCUGAUAGACCGGAUGGUUGUGCUGCCUUUCAGAGGGACUUCAACAGGCUGGAGAGAUGGGCUGACAGGAAUCUGAUGAAGGUCAACAAAGCAAAAGGCCAAGUCCUGCACCCGAGUAGGAAUAGCCUUGUGCAUCAGUACACACAGUAGAGGCCAACCAGCUGGAAAGCAGCUUUACAGAAAAGAACCUGGGAGUCCUUGUGGACAACAAGCUGGUCAGAAGCCAGCAACGUGCCCUCAUGGAAAAGGCAGCCUCACCCUAAUGGGCUGCAUUAGGAAGGGUGUCACCAGCAGGUUGAGGGAGGUGACCCUCCUCUCUACUCAGCACCAGUAAGACAUAUCUGCAGUGCUGGCUCCAACUCUGGGGAAACCAGUACAAGAGUCAUGGACAUACUGGAACAAGUUCAGUGACAAUUAGGGGCUUGGAGCAUCUGCCAUACAAAGUGCAGCUGAGAGACCUUACGUUGUUCAAUCUGGAGAAGCGAAUGCUUGGGGAGAUCUUAUCCAUGUCUAUAAAUACCUGGUGGGGGACUAAAGAAGAUGGAGACAGACCGCUCUUGGUGGUGCCCACUGAGGCAACAGGCACAAACUUAAACAGAGGAAAUACCACUUAAACAUCAGAAAAAGACUUACUUUUUUUUUUUUUUUUUUUUAUGGUGUUGGUGGUCAAACACUGGCACAAGUUGCCCAGAGAGGUUGUGGAGUCUCCAGCCUUGGAGAUAUUAAAAAUCCCACUGGACACCACCCUUAGCAACCUGCUCUAGCUGGCCCUGCUGUGAGCAGGGGAGUUGGACUAGAUGAUCUCCAGAGGGGCCUUCCAGCCUCAGCAAUUCUAUGAUUCUCUGGUUCAGUCACUUUUAACAGCCAUUGUUACAGCCUUGUCUACUAAAUUGUACUUGGGCUUUAAGUUUCUACUUUUCAAAUUCUACUUUUAUAUGAUAAAGUCAUCCUCAUUCUUUUUCAAGGGAAGCCUGACUAAAGUUGUUAUUUUCCAUAUAAAUAGCAAAAUGUAACCUCACUGCCCAGUAAUGCAAGUAUAAGUUCUGUUGCUGUUUGUAAGCAAUAGGAAUAUUUUAACAAGAAUAAGGAAAACAUUUGAAAAUGAAAAAUUUGAACAACAAAUUUCAUUUUUUUCUGUUUCUAAAUUUAUCUCAGCUAAUUCUUAUUUAAAUAAGCUAGAGUCAUAUUUGUUAUAGAAUGGAAACAAAAGCAAGUAUUUGUUGUGGUUGAAAAAAUUAUAUAUUUAUGCCACCAGUAUGUGAUGCUGGAACUGACAGGCAAAUAGCAACCAGUGAGACUCCAUUCUUACAUAACAAACAUGACAUUGCCAUUGAUUUUUCAAAUUGAUUUUUGUGAAUUGCAAAAUUGAUUUUUGUGAAUAGAAAAAAAUACACUAACUACAAAAUGCCUUGCACAUUGAUAUGGCUAGAAAUGACUAGUAGCAGAGUAAAAAAAGAAGAGAAAUAACGAUCUGGAAGAGAAACUGCAUUUCUUUUCUCUAAAGAGCCUGUUGCCACAGGCUACCUCUUGUCCAGCCAUUUCUGGCUUCAGUUAUCAAGAGCUUUUAGCUCUGGAACAUCAAAAUCUCCAGAAUGUGCAUUUUCCACUUGCUCCUAGUAGGUACACACAUAAUACAGGUCUUUAAAAAUAUGCCUAUGUGACCAUGGGUUACCUUUGUUUGAUGCUUUUCAGACUGUCUUUACUUGUUUUUCCAGUAUGUCUGGGUGAGAGGAUGCAAACCAGCUAUAAACCAUCAGCUGGAAGCAGAUGUGUUUGUGGCCACACUGUCAGACUCAAUAACACAGUAAUGCAGCUGCAUGGCUUCUGAUUCAAGACCUGUCAACUGAGGUCCUGCACAACUGCAUAUCUGACACGUACCUGGCCAUCUAGGUACAUCUUUCUGCAAAAGACCAGGUAGAUCUACUGCUCCCUAGGCACGUACAGGCGGUAAAGGACAAAUGAGCGAUGUGAUAGAGCAUACAAUUGCUGCGCAACAGCAAUGUCUAGGGAAACAAGACUUGAUUGUGUUUGCAAAAUCCAGUGAACUGUAAUACAGCCGGAAGCACUCACAUGGAAACACCAAAGAGCUGCUGCAAAAUAGCGCCAUUUAUUUUUGAAUCUUUCAGAUUGUGCCCUCCUGCGAUAUAGCUAGGAUGGGAGACGAAACUCCCCGCAGCGGUUUGUUUAUGUCUAGCAGAUCUCUUACCACGCCUGGUGGAUAGCAGGAGGUGAGAGAGGGCAGAGUCUUUGGUCCUGGAGAGGAUGGCUGCAUUGUAAGUCAGUUAAGGAAAGAGUUUCUGCUGAUGCAUGUUCCCUGUGAGCAUGAGUACCUGAGGAAAACGAGCAGAUCAGAUUAAAGCUGGCAGCUAUAGGAAAGGAGCUCAUGCAUGAAGUGAUAAGCCAUCCCCUUUCCCACCACAAAAAAACCACAGUAAGUGAGUUGAGAAAGGUAAAUUUAGACAACUAAAUCACUACGUGACCCUUCCCCAAAGCGUAUGGCUUGGCUCAAGUCACAGUGAGACUGUUGCUCCUAGGAAAGCACGGUUACAACCAACGGCCAGGCUGUUCAGAAAGCAUGGAAGCGACGGUGCUACAGACACACAGUUUUCAAAAUUAAGGGGCAAGCACGGAUUAAAAGAUCUCUACAGAAAGGUAGUAAUUAAAUGAGCAAAUUAAUCAUUCAGAAAAGUCGACAUUUAAAUGCAAAGGUUUUUAUCUUUUUGUGUGCUUUUUUUCAGUUUAUUCAAAUAUCAGUACCUUGGUGGUUUGGAGAAUUUUUAAAUGACCCACACGGUCUGUAAAUGUCAGAUUAGUACGUUUAUGCCACAGGUGAUUGUUGUGAUUCAAGCUGAAAUACAUCUCUCCGGAAACGCCAGAAACCCUCCAGCUUUAACUCUCUUAUUGUUACUAGCCUGUUACCCAAAAUAGCUUUACCACUCUUCUGGGAGCACAAAGAAAUAGAAAACAAUAUGCAUGUUUUAUUUGAUAAGUAAAUUGUCAUAAACUAUAGAACAACUCUGAGCACCAUGAUAAAUCAGUAGAUAAUGGGUUUCUGUAUUUAUUAACAUGAUAAAAUAGACUAACAUAUUUGGCUCUAAAUGGCCACCUAAUUUCGUGAAAUUGAAUACAACUGCCCUGUACAUAAUAUCACAACUGAACAGUGAUAAACAUGCCUAAUUCACAAAUUCUCUGUGAAUGUUGGGGAUGACAGAACCCCAAAUGCUUCAGAUGUCUGUUUCCAGAGCUAGAAGCCAAACCUGGUUUUAAAAACUCCCAUAGCUCUAAGUCUUGAAUUUGCAUGUUUAUUGCCCUGAGUUAAUCUGGGAACCCGUCUGAAUUUUCUGCUAAUGAGUAAGAGGACUAUAUUUUGGCUGUUUGGGGGCAGCAAGGAGCAUUAACAUUUCUUACUUCUCUUGAACUUUCUGCCCUUCUGGAAAAGAAGUGAGAGACACUACUGAGGCGUGACCAUUCAAUCCCAGCAUAUGUUAGCUUCAAUUUGACCCCUGCUGGCUGAUCAAGAAUGGCAGAGAACUUCUGCCUCCACAAAUAACUAACUAUACAUUACAGAGUCAGAAAUAUGUUUCCAGUCAGGGACCGUUAUAUUUUAGAAAGAGAGUCAUGCAAGCAUUAACAGCUGUGCGUGCACUUUCAGCGCACACCCAUCUCUCAGGCUUCCUCUAUUCCCUUUCCCUCAAUUGCUCAAACAUCCCUUGACUAGAAUCCAUUUUUAUUUGGAAUGAGAAGAACUUGAAAGAAGUGAAGGACAGAUAGCAGGCCAGAGGCAGGAUGCCCAGAAACAGAGUCAAAAUAUUACAGGGUAUUUCAUCACUGGUGAGAACACUUUAUUAUUGAAGAAAGUAUAUGUAAAUACUGGAUUGAUUUUCUGACAGUACAGAACAGACCUGGCUUUGGCCUCAUUAAAAAAGAGAAAAAUAUCUUAAAUACCACUGUGGAACAAUUGAUGCUUGUUAUCUGACAGCACAAAAAGCAGUUAAAAGAAUGCCUGUGAAACUGAGCGGCAUCAUUAGGUACAAUGAUGAGAUACAUAUGUUUAGACAAGCCUCUCAGAAACCACUGGUUUUUGGAAAGUAUUUUCUGUCUAUUAGUGAUGCCAGAGUAAAACAUUCUGCUCAUGCUUUCUUCUAUUUCAGUCCACAGGAAGUGUUUCCAUUUGAAGCAAGUUGGCAAUUGCAAGGAUGUAGAAGCUAUCUGAAAACCAGCAGGAAGCACAACUAUGAAAAGAAGAAUAGGGCAAUGGGUCACAGCAAGAACAAGAAAAAGAGACAAGAAGUUAGAGUCUUUCUUAUUGAAGGAGCAGAAGUUUUGCCAGAAGGCUUCCUAAGAGGUUGAACCACCAGAAGCAUUGAAAACAAGUUCACAUCGAAAACUAUAUGCAUAAAUCCUUCUGCAUCCCACAUCAAAAGGGAAGGACAUCACUGGGAGAUGGACUGAAUAUAUGCUGUAGACACUCAUCCAGUUUAAAGAUGGAAUGAGGACUACAGACCCUUCUCAGAGAGGACAGCAACAGAGACAUCUUGCUGAAAGUCAAAAAGAGCUAUAUUACCUGUGCAAGAAAGAAGCAAGAAUGAUGAAGGAUGGUUUCUGCAAAGAAAUACAUAUAAGAGACAAAUUCUUGUGGUGACAGAGAAAUAAAUGGAUGGCAGAAGUGAUGAUACACCGUAUGAUGCCAGACAAACAAAAGGAGAGCAAAGGCAUGUUGUUUGAUUUAAUGACUUAAAAAACAAAACAUGUAUUUUGAGUCAAUGUUUGUUAUGCGGCAUAUUGUCACUUGCCUUAAUCAUCCUACACUUACACCAUAGAAUCCUGAAGUGAGAUUCAUCACAGCGUCAUAGCCAUCAACACCUGAGCAGACAUCCUUAGCCUUCCUUUCCAGUUGAUGAAGAAGCAUAGGUACUUCAAAAGAAUGAGUCUAUUGAUUUAUUCUAGAGUCUACAUUAGGUUGAGAUUAAAUUCUAAAGCUGCCUAUUUCAAUUGACAACAAAGGUAGCAUAAAAUUGUCUCUAACUUUACUAUAAGCUUGUCUAAGUCUUUAAAGUGUCUGAAGUUACAUGAAGCCCACCUUUCAGUUUUGCAUAACAUCUUUUGUACCCUUCCAGUGAACAGAAAUACAUCCAUUUGACAAUGCACUUCGGUGCACUCUUCAAAUUCUGUUAUUCUUGCAUUUAAAAGGUUUUUUUAAUAAGUAAUUUUAUUGAUCUGUCAUUCAUAAAGAUCCAUGGCAGAAGUUAUUAAGCCUUACAGUAAUACAAAGGAAUGCAUACAAACUGAUUUGUUUUUUGUGUACAUAGCAUACUUCUUGUAAAGAAAACCGGAUAUCUAUAUGUGGAAGGGAACAUAUGCUUACAUAUCUAUUUCCAUUAACUAUUAUCCACUUUAUAUGCAAAAAUUGGCUCUGGCUUAUAUGAAAGUGGGUGCAUUAAUUGAAGCAUAAAAAUUCACCCUCAGAGACUACUACUAGAAUUUAAAUCCACUUAUGAUAUAUUUAUCAGAACUGAUUUAAAAUCAUACUUUCACUUCCCUUCAUUUUCUUUAGGUUUUAAUUGUCCAUGUGAACAGUAGCUUGAAGUUGUGAUUGAUUACUUAUAUAGACUAACCACUUAAAGAACUAUAAAAUAGGGAAAGGGCAUUGUAAUUACAUGGUUUCAACUGCAGGUAUUAGUAUUCAAGAAGAGUGAUUUUUCAAGGGAAGAUCAAGCCUCACAACCAUGAAUAGGAGUCUUUCUCAACAUAACUGACACAGUAACUGUCAGUACCAGUCUUGAAAACCACGACAGCUUUAAAAUACCGUAGCUGUAAUUGUGAAAUGCUUAGCUGGCUGUCAGUUGUUCUGUGGCUAUAUCUAGAUUUACUUCCAUAUGAUGUUUAUUUUGUAUUAGAAAAGCAUUAAAAGUCUUGACAGUUAUAAGGUACAAAUUUACUUACUUCCAUUUAUUUUUUAACUGUCCGAGGCAGAAACCAAUUUCUUUCAACAUGCUUGAAUAACAACUUUUAAAGAGGACCUAGAUCACCCCUUGAAAUAUUUUAUAUUACCUCUACAGGAAUUAUAUGCAACUAUAUUGUUACCAUUGUAUUUUAUUUCCUCUGACCCUUUGACAUAUUAUGGAUAGCAUGUAUAUAACCUGAAAGUUUAUAAUAUGGAAUGUAAACAGAAUUUUGUCCCAGGAUGAAGGAGGCUUUGCCUGGAGUGAUGCAGGAAAAGAAGGUCUUUUAAGGGUCAUCAUGACUUCUUAUUUCCUGACCCCACUGAAAGGCUGGAGACAUAUGAACGGUAUUGCUUGAACAAGUGGGCAGACCUGAAAUUUUUACAGAAGUCUUUCAUCAGAGCCCUGUCUACUACCCCAGGUUAACACUACAACCGUAUCGUUACCAAUAUUAUAUAUAAUUGUUAACAAUCCUGCAGGGGAAUUUGGCACAACCCCUGUUUGUUCCAGGUAUAGAUCUGAUCCCAGAGCCUGGUUACAGCAAUGAGAAUUUCUGGAAAUGGUCUCUGGACCCCAGCAGAGACAGUUGCAUGCCCAGCAACAUUGGCAAGCAUCCAGCUGGCAAGUGAAGGCAAUUCUCCUGUUAGAGAAUUUUCCCUUCCUUCCUAAGUGUCCCUUGACUGAAGUCUGGUUUCUACCCUGGCCAAUAUUUCAGCACACCUCAGCUCCCCAUUUUAUCCAGAACAAUGUAGCCAGGAGAAAGGAGGAGAGACUGCCUGGUAAAACAGCUCUGGCUUUGUUCGCAUUGCUCACAAUCUGUGAAUAUUAGGCACACUAAUUAAUAAUGCUUUGCACUAACAUAGCUCAUUUGAUUAAAGGUUCUGGAAUUGAUUUAUGUGUAUUGAUUGAUGCAACAUCAUGCUAGAUCCUCAAUAUAGGUAAGCUGUACAUCUGUAAAACAAUACAGGCACAGUAGUGGUUUCAGUUUUCUGGUACUUGUGGAAU